AGGGCGCACGGUGGAUGCCUUGGCACUAGGAGCCGACGAAGGACGUGACAAACGACGAUAUGCCUUGGGUAGCUGUAAGUAAGCGAUGAUCCAGGGAUUUCCGAAUGGGGGAACCCAACAGGUAAUACCUGUUACCCACAUCUGUUAAGGAUGUGAGGAGGAAGACGCAGUGAACUGAAACAUCUAAGUAGCUGCAGGAAGAGAAAGCAAAAGCGAUUGCCUUAGUAGCGGCGAGCGAAACGGCAGAAGGGCAAACCGAAGAGUUUACUCUUCGGGGUUGUAGGACUGCAAUGUGGACUCAAAGAUUAUAGAAGAAUGAUUUGGGAAGAUCAGCCAAAGAGAGUAAUAGCCUCGUAUUUAAAAUAGUCUUUGUACCUAGCAGUAUCCUGAGUACGGCGGGACACGUGAAAUCCCGUCGGAAUCUGGGAGGACCAUCUCCCAACCCUAAAUACUCCCUAGUGACCGAUAGUGAACCAGUACCGUGAGGGAAAGGUGAAAAGCACCCCGGGAGGGGAGUGAAAUAGAACCUGAAACCGUGUGCCUACAACAAGUUCGAGCCCGUUAAUGGGUGAGAGCGUGCCUUUUGUAGAAUGAACCGGCGAGUUACGUUAUGAUGCGAGGUUAAGUUGAAGAGACGGAGCCGUAGGGAAACCGAGUCUGAAUAGGGCGCCUUAGUAUCAUGACGUAGACCCGAAACCAUGUGACCUACCCAUGAGCAGGUUGAAGGUGCGGUAAGACGCACUGGAGGACCGAACCAGGGCACGUUGAAAAGUGCUUGGAUGACUUGUGGGUAGCGGAGAAAUUCCAAACGAACUUGGAGAUAGCUGGUUCUCUCCGAAAUAGCUUUAGGGCUAGCGUCGACAUUAGAGAUUCUUGGAGGUAGAGCACUGUUUGGGUGAGGGGUCCAUCCCGGAUUACCAAUCUCAGAUAAACUCCGAAUGCCAAUGAAUUAUGGUCGGCAGUCAGACUGCGAGUGCUAAGAUCCGUAGUCGAAAGGGAAACAGCCCAGACCACCAGCUAAGGUCCCAAAAUAAUUGUUAAGUGGAAAAGGAUGUGGGGUUGCACAGACAACUAGGAUGUUAGCUUAGAAGCAGCUAUUCAUUCAAAGAGUGCGUAAUAGCUCACUAGUCGAGUGACCCUGCGCCGAAAAUGUACCGGGGCUAAAACAAUUUACCGAAGCUGUGGAUACCUUUAUAGGUAUGGUAGGAGAGCGUUCUAUGUGUGAUGAAGGUAUACCGUGAGGAGUGCUGGAACGCAUAGAAGUGAGAAUGCCGGUAUGAGUAGCGAAAGACAGGUGAGAAUCCUGUCCACCGUAAGACUAAGGUUUCCAGGGGAAGGCUCGUCCGCCCUGGGUUAGUCGGGACCUAAGGAGAGACCGAAAGGUGUAUCCGAUGGACAACAGGUUGAUAUUCCUGUACUAGAGUAUGUAGUGAUGGAGGGACGCAGUAGGCUAACUAAAGCAGACGAUUGGAAGAGUCUGUCUAAGCAGUGAGGUGUGAAUUGAGUCAAAUGCUUAAUUCUAUAACAUUGAGCUGUGAUGGGGAGCGAAGUUUAGUAGCGAAGUUAGUGACGUCACACUGCCAAGAAAAGCUUCUAGCGUUUAAACAUACUCUACCCGUACCGCAAACCGACACAGGUAGUCGAGGCGAGUAGCCUCAGGUGAGCGAGAGAACUCUCGUUAAGGAACUCGGCAAAAUGACCCCGUAACUUCGGGAGAAGGGGUGCUGACUUAAAGUCAGCCGCAGUGAAUAGGCCCAAGCAACUGUUUAUCAAAAACACAGCUCUCUGCUAAAUCGUAAGAUGAUGUAUAGGGGGUGACGCCUGCCCGGUGCUGGAAGGUUAAGAGGAGUGCUUAGCGUAAGCGAAGGUAUGAAUUGAAGCCCCAGUAAACGGCGGCCGUAACUAUAACGGUCCUAAGGUAGCGAAAUUCCUUGUCGGGUAAGUUCCGACCCGCACGAAAGGCGUAAUGAUUUGGGCACUGUCUCAACGAGAGACUCGGUGAAAUUUUAGUACCUGUGAAGAUGCAGGUUACCCGCGACAGGACGGAAAGACCCCAUGGAGCUUUACUGCAGUUUGAUAUUGAGUGUCUGUACCACAUGUACAGGAUAGGUAGGAGUCUAAGAGAUCGGGACGCCAGUUUCGAAGGAGACGCUGUUGGGAUACUACCCUUGUGUUAUGGCCACUCUAACCCAGAUAGGUGAUCCCUAUCGGAGACAGUGUCUGACGGGCAGUUUGACUGGGGCGGUCGCCUCCUAAAAGGUAACGG
This 2266-nucleotide ribosomal RNA is filed under the name Streptococcus pneumoniae. RNAcentral describes it as "bacterial LSU rRNA". It matches the Rfam family "Bacterial large subunit ribosomal RNA", at positions 14 to 2303 of the family's 2925-position model. Lineage: Bacteria; Bacillati; Bacillota; Bacilli; Lactobacillales; Streptococcaceae. The record is from RNAcentral.